This 465-nucleotide ribosomal RNA is filed under the name uncultured bacterium. RNAcentral's name for it is "partial 16S ribosomal RNA". It matches the Rfam family "Bacterial small subunit ribosomal RNA", at positions 28 to 507 of the family's 1533-position model. The record is from RNAcentral.
GACGAACGCUGGCGGCGUGCUUAACACAUGCAAGUCGAACGGAAAGGCCCUGCUUGCAGGGUACUCGAGUGGCGAACGGGUGAGUAACACGUGGGUGAUCUGCCCUGCACUUCGGGAUAAGCCUGGGAAACUGGGUCUAAUACCGGAUAGGAGCCAUUUUUAGUGUGAUGGUUGGAAAGUUUUUUCGGUGUAGGAUGAGCUCGCGGCCUAUCAGCUUGUUGGUGGGGUAAUGGCCUACCAAGGCGGCGACGGGUAGCCGGCCUGAGAGGGUGGACGGCCACAUUGGGACUGGGAUACGGCCCAGACUCCUACGGGGAGCAGCAGUGGGGAAUAUUGCACAAUGGGCGCAAGCCUGAUGCAGCGACGCCGCGUGGGGGAUGACGGCCUUCGGGUUGUAAACUCCUUUCGCUAGGGACGAAGCUUUUUGUGACGGUACCUAGAUAAGAAGCACCGGCUAACUACGUG